UAGGCUUGACAUGCACGGGAAUGUCGUGGAAACACGGCAGCCCUUCGGGGCUCGUGCACAGGUGGUGCAUGGCUGUCGUCAGCUCGUGUCGUGAGAUGUUGGGUUAAGUCCCGCAACGAGCGCAACCCUUGUCCCUAGUUGCUACGCAAGGGCACUCUAGGGAGACUGCCGGUGACAAACCGGAGGAAGGUGGGGAUGACGUCGAAUACGUAAC
RNAcentral lists this unclassified non-coding RNA (214 nucleotides) under uncultured Actinomycetes bacterium. Its description in RNAcentral is "uncultured actinobacterium contains 16S-23S intergenic spacer region". It matches the Rfam family "Bacterial small subunit ribosomal RNA", at positions 976 to 1199 of the family's 1533-position model. The record is from RNAcentral. Lineage: Bacteria; Bacillati; Actinomycetota; Actinomycetes.